Molecule: ribosomal RNA, 495 nt
Filed under: uncultured bacterium
Lineage: Bacteria
Description: partial 16S ribosomal RNA
Rfam family: Bacterial small subunit ribosomal RNA
Source: RNAcentral
GAUGAACGCUGGCGGCGUGCCUAAUACAUGCAAGUAGAACGCUGAAGGAGGAGCUUGCUCUUCUGGAUGAGUUGCGAACGGGUGAGUAACGCGUAGGUAACCUGCCUGGUAGCGGGGGAUAACUAUUGGAAACGAUAGCUAAUACCGCAUGACAACAGUUAUUGCAUGAUAACUGUUUAAAAGGGGCAACUGCUCCACUACCAGAUGGACCUGCGUUGUAUUAGCUAGUUGGUGAGGUAACGGCUCACCAAGGCGACGAUACAUAGCCGACCUGAGAGGGUGAUCGGCCACACUGGGACGGAGACACGGCCCAGACUCCUACGGGAGGCAGCAGUAGGGAAUCUUCGGCAAUGGACGGAAGUCUGACCGAGCAACGCCGCGUGAGUGAAGAAGGGUUUCGGAUCGUAAAGCUCUGUUGUAAGAGAAGAACGAGUGUGAGAGUGGAAAGUUCACACUGUGACGGUAUCUUACCAGAAAGGGACGGCUAACUACGUG